CAGUCGAGGGGCAUCAUGAGGUAGCAAUACCUUGAUGGCGACCGGCGCACGGGUGAGUAACGCGUAUGCAACCUGCCCGAUACCGGGGUAUAGCCCAUGGAAACGUGGAUUAACACCCCAUAGUACUUUUAUCCUGCCUGGGAUGGGAGUUAAAUGUUCAAGGUAUCGGAUGGGCAUGCGUCCUAUUAGUUAGUUGGCGGGGUAACAGCCCACCAAGACGAUGAUAGGUAGGGGUUCUGAGAGGAAGGUCCCCCACAUUGGAACUGGGACACGGUCCAAACUCCUACGGGAGGCAGCAGUGAGGAAUAUUGGUCAAUGGACGAGAGUCUGAACCAGCCAAGUCGCGUGAGGGAAGACUGCCCUAUGGGUUGUAAACCUCUUUUAUAAGGGAAGAAUAAGUUCUACGUGUAGAAUGAUGCCUGUACCUUAUGAAUAAGCAUCGGCUAACUCCGUGCCAGCAGCCGCGGUAAUACGGAGGAUGCGAGCGUUAUCCGGAUUUAUUGGGUUUAAAGGGUGCGUAGGCGGUUUAUUAAGUUAGUGGUUAAAUAUUUGAGCUAAACUCAAUUGUGCCAUUAAUACUGGUAAACUGGAGUACAGACGAGGUAGGCGGAAUAAGUUAAGUAGCGGUGAAAUGCAUAGAUAUAACUUAGAACUCCGAUAGCGAAGGCAGCUUACCAGACUGUAACUGACGCUGAUGCACGAGAGCGUGGGUAGCGAACAGGAUUAGAUACCCC
This 734-nucleotide ribosomal RNA is filed under the name uncultured bacterium. RNAcentral describes it as "bacterial SSU rRNA". It matches the Rfam family "Bacterial small subunit ribosomal RNA", at positions 59 to 788 of the family's 1533-position model. The record is from RNAcentral.